UGGGGAAUUUUCCGCAAUGGGCGAAAGCCUGACGGAGCAAUACCGCGUGAGGGAGGAAGGCUUUUGGGUUGUAAACCUCUUUUGUCAGGGAAGAAAAUUUGACGGUACCUGAAGAAAAAGCAUCGGCUAACUCCGUGCCAGCAGCCGCGGUAAUACGGAGGAUGCAAGCGUUAUCCGGAAUAAUUGGGCGUAAAGGGUCCGCAGGUGGCCAUUCAAGUCUGCUGUCAAAGACCGUGGCUCAACCACGGAAAGGCAGUGGAAACUGUUUAGCUAGAGUACGGUAGGGGUAGAGGGAAUUCCCAGUGUAGCGGUGAAAUGCGUAGAUAUUGAGAAGAACACCGGUGGCGAAAGCGCUCUACUAGGCCGAAACUGACACUGAGGGACGAAAGCUAGGGGAGCGAAAGGGAUUAGAUACCCCUGUAGUCA
This 426-nucleotide ribosomal RNA is filed under the name uncultured bacterium. Its description in RNAcentral is "bacterial SSU rRNA". It matches the Rfam family "Bacterial small subunit ribosomal RNA", at positions 355 to 796 of the family's 1533-position model. The record is from RNAcentral.